AAACACACGGCUACACCAAUGGCGAUCAACAGAACGUGGCCUGAAAAAUAAUUAAAAACAAAUUUAAGUGCACUUGUGAUGGAUUUUUCGUCGAAAUAUUGUAUAAUAUGGCAGGCUUGCAACAUCAUGUGAAUAAAUAGUGAAAAAGUGUUUAAAACUCGGGUCGUCUACAUUGAGUUGAGCCCAGCCACAUGAAAGUGGUAUAUAUAUAUAUAUAU
Drosophila virilis is the source of this 218-nucleotide non-coding RNA. NCBI's taxonomy places the organism in Eukaryota, Metazoa, Arthropoda, Insecta, Diptera, Drosophilidae. The record is from RefSeq and is a predicted model, not a curated record.